GGUUCGAUUAUGGCUCAGAUUGAACGCUGGCGGGAUGCUUUACACAUGCAAGUCGAACGGCAGCACGGACUUCGGUCUGGUGGCGAGUGGCGAACGGGUGAGUAAUGUAUCCAGACGUACCUAGUAGCGGGGAUAACUACGCGAAAGCGUAACUAAUACCGCAUACGCCUUCGAGGAAAGCGGGGGAGCCUUCGGGCCUCGCGCACUGACAAACAGCCGAUAUCGGAUUAGCUAGUUGGUGGGCGCGCGGCUCCCGCAAGGCGACGAUCCGUAGCUGGUUUGAGAGGACGACCAGCCACACUGGGACUGAGACACGGCCCAGACUCCUACGGGGUAGCAGUGGGAAUUUUGGACAAUGGGGAAACCUGAUCAAGCCCAUCCGUGCGAUAGAGAGAGGCCUUCGGACAUGCAGCACUUUUGGCAGGAAAGAAACGCUUCCGGGAUAAUACCCCCGUGCAGCGGCGAUACCACCAGAAUAAGCACCGGCUAACUACGUGCCAGCAGCCGCGGUAAUACGUAGAUUGCAAGCGUUAAUCGGAAUUACUGGGCGUAAAGCGUGCGCAGGCGGUUCGGAAAGAAAAGAUGUGAAAUCCAGAGCUUAACCUGGAACUGCAUUUUUAACUGCCGAGCUAGAGUGUGUCAGAGGGAGGUGGAAUUCCGCGUGUAGCAGUGAAAUGCGUAGAUAUGCGGAGGAACACCGAUGGCGAAGGCAGCCUCCUGGGAUAACACUGACGCUCAUGCACAGCGGUAAGGGCAAACAGAGUUAGAUGCCCUGGUAGUCCACGCCCUAAACGAUGUCAACUAGCUGUUGGGGCCUUCGGGCCUUGUGGCCAGCGCAACUAACGCGUGAAGUUGACCGCCUGGGGAAAUACGGUCGCAAGAUUAAAACUCAAAGGAAUUGACGAGACCCCGCACAAGCGGUGGAUGAUGUGGAUUAAUUCGAUGCAACGCGAAAAACCUUACCUACCCUUGACAUGUCUGGAAUCCCGAAGAGAUUUGGGAGUGCUCGCAAGAGAACCGGAACACAGGUGCUGCAUGGCUGUCGUCAGCUCGUGUCGUGAGAUGUUGGGUUAAGUCCGCAACGAGCGCAACCCUUGUCAUUAGUUGCUACGAAGAGGCACUCUAAUGAGACUGCCGGUGACAAACCGGAGGGAAGGUGGGGAUGACGUCAAGUCCUCAUGGCCCUUAUGGGUAGGGCUUCACACGUCAUACCACAAUGGUCGGGACGGUCGCCAACCCGCGAGGGAGCCAAUCCCAGAAACCCGAUCGUAGUCCGGAUCGCAGUCUGCAACUCGACUGCGUGAAGUCGGAAUCGCCUUUAGUAAUCGCGGAUCAGCAUGUCGCGGUGAAUACGUUCCCGGGUCUUGUACACACCGCCGUCUGCACAUGGGAGUGGGUUUUACCGAAGUAGUUAGCCUAACCGUAAGGAGGGCGAUUACCACGGUAGGAUUCAUGACUGGGGUGAAGUCGUAACAAGGUAG
Molecule: ribosomal RNA, 1481 nt
Filed under: uncultured Bordetella sp.
Lineage: Bacteria; Pseudomonadati; Pseudomonadota; Betaproteobacteria; Burkholderiales; Alcaligenaceae
Description: partial 16S-23S ribosomal RNA intergenic spacer
Rfam family: Bacterial small subunit ribosomal RNA
Source: RNAcentral